GAUGAACGCUGGCGGCGUGCCUAAUACAUGCAAGUAGAACGCUGAAGGAAGGAGCUUGCUCUUUCCGGAUGAGUUGCGAACGGGUGAGUAACGCGUAGGUAACCUGCCUGGUAGCGGGGGAUAACUAUUGGAAACGAUAGCUAAUACCGCAUAACAGUAGAUGCUGCAUGAUAUCUACUUAAAAGGUGCAAUUGCACCACUACCAGAUGGACCUGCGUUGUAUUAGCUGGUUGGUGAGGUAACGGCUCACCAAGGCGACGAUACAUAGCCGACCUGAGAGGGUGAUCGGCCACACUGGGACUGAGACACGGCCCAGACUCCUACGGGAGGCAGCAGUAGGGAAUCUUCGGCAAUGGACGGAAGUCUGACCGAGCAACGCCGCGGGAGUGAAGAAGGUUGUCGGAUCGUAAAGCUCUGUUGUAAGAGAAGAACGAGUGUGAGAGUGGAAAGUUCACACUGUGACGGUAUCUUACCAGAAAGGGACGGCUAACUACGUG
This 497-nucleotide ribosomal RNA is filed under the name uncultured bacterium. RNAcentral's name for it is "partial 16S ribosomal RNA". It matches the Rfam family "Bacterial small subunit ribosomal RNA", at positions 28 to 507 of the family's 1533-position model. The record is from RNAcentral.